GCAGUUGGGCUGCAAUUGGGCAGCGGUUUUACCUCCAUUUUGAGACCAGACGACUGGACUCAUGUCUUCCAACUCAAGUACCAGUCAGUGGCCAAGACCUGGAGGGCAAGCACCUUCAUCCCCAAGCUAUGAAAACUCACUCCACUCCCUGCAGUCUCGAAUGGAGGAUCGUUUAGACAGACUGGAUGAUGCAAUCCAUGUGCUGCGGAACCAUGCUGUGGGACCUUCCACCAGUUUGCCUGCUGGUCACAGUGAUAUACAUAGUUUAUUGGGACCAUCCCAUAAUGCACCAAUUGGAAGCCUCAAUUCAAACUAUGGAGGAUCAAGCCUUGUUGCAAGCAGUCGAUCAGCUUCAAUGGUUGGAACUCAUCGGGAAGACUCUGUCAAUCUCAAUGGCAAUCAUUCAGUCCUGUCUAGUACAGUCACUACUUCAAGCACAGACCUGAACCAUAAAACACAAGACAAUUAUAGAGGUGGCUUGCAAAGUCAGUCUGGAACUGUUGUUACAACAGAAAUCAAGACUGAAAACAAAGAAAAGGAUGAAAACCUUCAUGAACCUCCUUCAUCAGAUGACAUGAAGUCAGAU
This 586-nucleotide small RNA is filed under the name Pan troglodytes (chimpanzee). RNAcentral describes it as "processed transcript". The record is from RNAcentral. Lineage: Eukaryota; Metazoa; Chordata; Mammalia; Primates; Hominidae.